GUGCCUAACACAUGCAAGUCGAACGAGAAAGUGGAGCAAUCCAUGAGUAAAGUGGCGACCGGGUGAGUAACACGUGACUAACCUACCUUCGAGUGGGGGAUAACCUAGGGAAACCUGGGCUAAUACCGCAUAACAUCUUUGGAGUGGAAAUUCUGGAGAUCAAAGGGGCAAUUCGCUUGAAGAGGGGGUCGCGGCUGAUUAGCUAGUUGGCGGGGUAAUGGCCCACCAAGGCGAAGAUCGGUAGCCGGCCUGAGAGGGCGCACGGCCACACUGGAACUGAAACACGGUCCAG
RNAcentral lists this ribosomal RNA (292 nucleotides) under uncultured bacterium. Its description in RNAcentral is "partial 16S ribosomal RNA". It matches the Rfam family "Bacterial small subunit ribosomal RNA", at positions 44 to 334 of the family's 1533-position model. The record is from RNAcentral.